Molecule: ribosomal RNA, 467 nt
Filed under: uncultured bacterium
Lineage: Bacteria
Description: partial 16S ribosomal RNA
Rfam family: Bacterial small subunit ribosomal RNA
Source: RNAcentral
GACGAACGCUGGCGGCGUGCUUAACACAUGCAAGUCGAACGGAAAGGCCUCUUUCGGGGGGUACUCGAGUGGCGAACGGGUGAGUAACACGUGAGUAACCUGCCCUUGACUUUGGGAUAACUUCAGGAAAGUGGGGCUAAUACCGGAUAGGAGCUCUUGCUGAAUGGUGGGGGUUGGAAAGUUUCGGCGGUUGGGGAUGGACUGGCGGGUUAUCAGCUUGUCGGUGGGGUAGUGGCUUACCAAGGCUUUGACGGGUAGCCGGCCUGUGAGGGUGACCGGCCAUACUGGGACCUAGAGACGGCCCAGACACCGACGGGAGGCAGAUGGGGGGAAGAUUGCACAAGCGGUGCCAGCCUAAUGCAGCAACGCCGUGGACGGUAAGACGGCCUUAGGGUUGAAAACCGCUUUCGCUCGUGACGAAGCUUUUUGUGACGGUAGUGAGUAAAGAAGCACCGGCUAACUACGUG